RNAcentral lists this unclassified non-coding RNA (28 nucleotides) under Mus musculus (house mouse). RNAcentral's name for it is "oocyte_clustered_small_RNA7135". Lineage: Eukaryota; Metazoa; Chordata; Mammalia; Rodentia; Muridae. The record is from RNAcentral.
UGGGAAAGGACCGCACGAUGAAAAGAGA